UACGUAGGUGGCAAGCGUUGUCCGGAUUUACUGGGUGUAAAGGGCGUGCAGCCGGGUCUGCAAGUCAGAUGUGAAAUCCAUGGGCUCAACCCAUGAACUGCAUUUGAAACUGUAGAUCUUGAGUGUCGGAGGGGCAAUCGGAAUUCCUAGUGUAGCGGUGAAAUGCGUAGAUAUUAGGAGGAACACCAGUGGCGAAGGCGGAUUGCUGGACGAUAACUGACGGUGAGGCGCGAAAGUGUGGGGAGCAAACAGG
This 253-nucleotide ribosomal RNA is filed under the name uncultured bacterium. Its description in RNAcentral is "partial 16S ribosomal RNA". It matches the Rfam family "Bacterial small subunit ribosomal RNA", at positions 524 to 776 of the family's 1533-position model. RNAcentral also lists the same sequence under 2 other names. The record is from RNAcentral.